RNAcentral lists this ribosomal RNA (478 nucleotides) under uncultured bacterium. RNAcentral's name for it is "partial 16S ribosomal RNA". It matches the Rfam family "Bacterial small subunit ribosomal RNA", at positions 28 to 523 of the family's 1533-position model. The record is from RNAcentral.
GACGAACGCUGGCGGCGUGCUUAACACAUGCAAGUCGAACGGUAAGGCCCUUCGGGGUACACGAGUGGCGAACGGGUGAGUAACACGUGGGUGAUCUGCCCUGCACUUCGGGAUAAGCCUGGGAAACUGGGUCUAAUACCGGAUAGGACUCCUGCCUGCAUGGGUGGGGGUGGAAAGCUUUUGCGGUGUGGGAUGGGCCCGCGGCCUAUCAGCCUGUUGGUGGGGUGAUGGCCUACCAAGGCGACGACGGGUAGCCGGCCUGAGAGGGUGACCGGCCACACUGGGACUGAGAUACGGCCCAGACUCCUACGGGAGGCAGCAGUGGGGAAUAUUGCACAAUGGGCGCAAGCCUGAUGCAGCGACGCCGCGUGAGGGAUGACGGCCUUCGGGUUGUAAACCUCUUUCAGCACAGACGAAGCGCGAGUGACGGUAUGUGCAGAAGAAGGACCGGCCAACUACGUGCCAGCAGCCGCGGUAA